Oryza sativa Indica Group (long-grained rice) is the source of this 203-nucleotide microRNA precursor. It matches the Rfam family "MIR812 microRNA precursor family". The record is from Rfam. Lineage: Eukaryota; Viridiplantae; Streptophyta; Magnoliopsida; Poales; Poaceae.
CAAAAAAGAAAAAAAAAAUUUCUAUGUCCAACUUUAACUGUCCGUCUUAUAUGAAAUUUUUUUAUAAUUUAUAUUUUUAUUGUUGUUAGAUAAUAAAACAUGAUUAAUAUUUUAUACUUGACUUGUAUUUUUAUUUUUUUAAUAUUUUUUUAAAUAAGACGGACGGUUAAACGUUGGAUAUGGAAUUCAGGGUUUGUCUUUUU